Long non-coding RNA from Salvia splendens (bonfire salvia), 543 nucleotides. RefSeq lists it as uncharacterized. The transcript has 3 exons. Lineage: Eukaryota; Viridiplantae; Streptophyta; Magnoliopsida; Lamiales; Lamiaceae. The record is from RefSeq and is a predicted model, not a curated record.
CUCAUUGUUUAGCUUUCUGCAACUUCUUGGGCAAAGGCUUCUGGCAUCAAGAUGGAAUGGAUUAUGCAAUAGAUACUGAUACACAAUCCUUUUGCGAGGCCAAUCUCUACGAGGCCCUACGUAGAACUGGUUCCGGUUGUCUGCAUGACACUGGCCCCCUCCCCGGUAGCAUCGAUCACAAUCUUCCAACACACGCCACUCUAAACUGAAACUAGACGUCAGCAUCUCCGACAGUUGAGUCGUGUUCACAUCAGACUUCACAGGCAACUGAGUCAAGGAACAUUCUCCAGGAAUUGCCCCAUCACGACUCUCAGCUGCCGGAAUUUUGUCGUACAGCCAUCAUUUUCUUAAACUUUAUGCCGAAAAGUUUCGCAUCAACUAUAUAUGAUGGAACGGAGGGAGUACAUGUACAAGAGCACAAUCGAAUGGAAUAUAUGUAUAUAUUUAUAUUAAAUUGCUAAACUACACAUAGAGCUCGUAUAUGUAAUUAUAUUAUACUAAUAGUUAUAUUUAAAUUCGUAAUUAUACAUAUUUUUAUAAUAA